Long non-coding RNA from Misgurnus anguillicaudatus (oriental weatherfish), 711 nucleotides. RefSeq lists it as uncharacterized. The record is from RefSeq and is a predicted model, not a curated record. NCBI's taxonomy places the organism in Eukaryota, Metazoa, Chordata, Actinopteri, Cypriniformes, Cobitidae.
UCAGGAUUGGGGUUCAUUUUCGUCGGUAGGGUUUGUUCCCUGCAUCCACCUGACGAAAGAAGCUCUCUUUCUUUGCAAUUGCGCCAUUUCAUCCGUCGAUUCUGGAACCAAAUUUUUACCUGACGAGAGAGUUAGCAAAACAGCUUUCCGCUGCACGUCGGAGAAAACGGCCCGGCGAAGCAUUCCUCUCCUCGGCUUCCCUCUGGCUGUCAGCGGCCAUGUGAAAGUUCCGGGAAUUGGCACUGCUGAAGACGAAACUAUUAACAGAGGCAAAUUUCACUAUUAGACUAUGCAAACUGUGAUAUAUAAUAAUAUAAUUCUUAAAAUAUGGUAGCAAACGAUGAACAGGAAGUAUAUAUUGCGCUUUAAUGUUUAUAAAAACGAGUCUGUUUGAGUGAUAAGGAACGAGGAAGCUAAUUAGCACAUUGCUCGGUUCCCAAAAGCAUUGGUAUGGUAACAAGGGCGAGCAGUCAUUCAGAGCGCUCCAGUGGAAGAUAGAGGUGCUAAUGAAGCGUGGACGGUAAUUGUGUAGUAAUGAACUGACUGAAAAAGGCUUAGGACAGGCCACUAAAGCCAUAUAUUACGGCCACAAAAGAGAUUUACACUUUAAAACUAAACACAACGGCAUGCCAGGGACAUUUUGAGAAUACUGAUGGCGGGGGACUAUGUUUGCCCCCAAAUAUUUUCAUUAAAUGGACACGAAAAGCCAUU